UACGGAGGGGGCGAGCGUUAUUCGGAAUCAUUGGGCGUAAAGGGCGCGUAGGCGGCUUUGUAAGUCUUGGGUGAAAGCCCUCGGCUCAACCGAGGAAUUGCCUUGGAUACUGCGAAGCUCGAGGCUGGAAGAGGACAGUGGAAUUCCCGGUGUAGCGGUGAAAUGCGUAGAUAUCAGGAGGAAUACCGAUGGCGAAGGCAGGUCUCUGGGCUAUAACUGACGCUCAUGCACGAAAGCGUGGGGAGCAAACAGG
RNAcentral lists this ribosomal RNA (253 nucleotides) under uncultured bacterium. RNAcentral describes it as "partial 16S ribosomal RNA". It matches the Rfam family "Bacterial small subunit ribosomal RNA", at positions 524 to 776 of the family's 1533-position model. The record is from RNAcentral.